GUUAAAUUCAAGUCAAAAUCUAAGUUAGUCCUUUCUGAAUGUACUGAUGUACAUUCAGAAAGGACUAACUUAGAUUUUGACUUGAAUUUAACUGCAAU
Molecule: non-coding RNA, 98 nt
Organism: Paramuricea clavata
Lineage: Eukaryota; Metazoa; Cnidaria; Anthozoa; Malacalcyonacea; Plexauridae
Source: the annotation of a GenBank genome assembly